UCUGGCUCAGGAUGAACGCUAGCGGCAGGCUUAACACAUGCAAGUCGAGGGGUAUAUGUCUUCGGAUAUAGAGACCGGCGCACGGGUGCGUAACGCGUAUGCAAUCUACCUUUUACAGAGGGAUAGCCCAGAGAAAUUUGGAUUAAUACCUCAUAGUAUAGUGACUCGGCAUCGAGAUACUAUUAAAGUCACAACGGUAAAAGAUGAGCAUGCGUCCCAUUAGCUAGUUGGUAAGGUAACGGCUUACCAAGGCUACGAUGGGUAGGGGUCCUGAGAGGGAGAUCCCCCACACUGGUACUGAGACACGGACCAGACUCCUACGGGAGGCAGCAGUGAGGAAUAUUGGACAAUGGGCGCAAGCCUGAUCCAGCCAUGCCGCGUGCAGGAUGACGGUCCUAUGGAUUGUAAACUGCUUUUGUACGAGAAGAAACACUCCUNCGUGNAGGAGCUUGACGGUAUCGUAAGAAUAAGGAUCGGCUAACUCCGUGCCAGCAGCCGCGGUAAUACGGAGGAUCCAAGCGUUAUCCGGAAUCAUUGGGUUUAAAGGGUCCGUAGGCGGUUUAGUAAGUCAGUGGUGAAAGCCCAUCGCUCAACGGUGGAACGGCCAUUGAUACUGCUAAACUUGAAUUAUUAGGAAGUAACUAGAAUAUGUAGUGUAGCGGUGAAAUGCUUAGAGAUUACAUGGAAUACCAAUUGCGAAGGCAGGUUACUACUAAUGGAUUGACGCUGAUGGACGAAAGCGUGGGUAGCGAACAGGAUUAGAUACCCUGGUAGUCCACGCCGUAAACGAUGGAUACUAGCUGUUGGAAGCAAUUUCAGUGGCUAAGCGAAAGUGAUAAGUAUCCCACCUGGGGAGUACGUUCGCAAGAAUGAAACUCAGGG
Molecule: ribosomal RNA, 882 nt
Filed under: Flavobacterium sp. AKB-2008-JO27
Lineage: Bacteria; Pseudomonadati; Bacteroidota; Flavobacteriia; Flavobacteriales; Flavobacteriaceae
Description: bacterial SSU rRNA
Rfam family: Bacterial small subunit ribosomal RNA
Source: RNAcentral